GAGGAUGAAGUCGCAGCCCAAAUCAGUCUGAGAGGUGCUUAACAUAAUUGGCUGAAUAUUCGACCUGAAGGGCAAUCCUAAUACAGAGUCAAGAGGAACUCUCCAUCUAGAAUGACUUCAAUUAAGGUGGCGCUAUAGCUCAAUUGAGUGGAUAUGCGAUGAGUUGAUGGAGUUGAUUGAUAGCCCCUUGAGACCAACAUCAGAAAAUCAAUGGUCAGCAUCAUCCUUGAGGGGCUACUUUCCCACCAAGGUAUUCCAAGGGUGGACCGACAUCGUAUUAAACCAUAUGGAUUAAGAAUGGAUCACCGAAGUUCAUAUGUGCCUCAAGGCAGCAUCACUGUUCAGAUAUCAGAGGUUGUUUCAUCAUCCCUAUCCUCAACCACAGCCUGAAAAGACAGACAAAAGGUAUGUCACUGAGACUUUGACAUUUGGAUGAGAGCUCAUCAACAGGGUACAGAGAUAUAAUCACAUUGAAAUGCACACAGCUAUUGAGAACAAUGUGAUGUGGAAGCCCUCUCCAAAAUCGGCCAUUAUUAUCCAUGUUGCAUAGUGAUUAAAAAGAAAGGAGAGAGAACAGAACAGCAAUCAUGUUUUCAGGGUAAUAAUAAGUGGGCCACGCUGUGGCAGUAACUAGUGAAUAUGGGCCUCAUUAGUACCCUCUAUCUGAAUCACCUAGCUUAAUUAUGUCCCUUUAUCUGCACAGAGUACAUUACAGAAUAAUUAUAAAUAAAUGCUAAACCUUAUGUCACAGUUCAACUAAGUGGCCAUUAUUGGCUAAUUAAUCAUUGUGUUUGACUGAAAAUGUCAGCAAGGGCUCUUUGUAUAAAGGGUUCAUACUGAUGGAAAUGUUUCGCCAACACAUAUUUCAAAGGACAUUGUCACAAAAAGAUUAGAGGAUUAGAAAAAAGGCUGCACACAUGUUGUGCACUGCAAAUGGAGAAGAUAGAUUUGUAUGUUGACACUUCUGGUGACAAGAAACCCAAUCUCCUGUUGAGCUGUCAAAUCCUCUAUUAAAAAAUCCUACGGAUUAGGAGGCAUCCUCUUAGAAUUCCUUCUUCCAAUUAUCCUCUUCAAAAUUGGUCAUAACAUUUUCUACAAAAAGUGAUCUUAUGACAUUUUUGGCUGGCCCUUUU
Sardina pilchardus (European sardine) is the source of this 1133-nucleotide long non-coding RNA. RefSeq lists it as uncharacterized. The transcript is spliced from 4 exons. NCBI's taxonomy places the organism in Eukaryota, Metazoa, Chordata, Actinopteri, Clupeiformes, Clupeidae. The record is from RefSeq and is a predicted model, not a curated record.